CUGGCGGCCUUAGCGCGGUGGUCCCACCUGACCCCAUGCCGAACUCAGAAGUGAAACGCCGUAGCGCCGAUGGUAGUGUGGGGUCUCCCCAUGCGAGAGUAGGGAACUGCCAGACA
This 116-nucleotide ribosomal RNA is filed under the name Escherichia coli SWW33. RNAcentral also lists the same sequence under 7 other names. Lineage: Bacteria; Pseudomonadati; Pseudomonadota; Gammaproteobacteria; Enterobacterales; Enterobacteriaceae. The record is from RNAcentral.